RNAcentral lists this ribosomal RNA (305 nucleotides) under uncultured bacterium. RNAcentral describes it as "bacterial SSU rRNA". It matches the Rfam family "Bacterial small subunit ribosomal RNA", at positions 333 to 631 of the family's 1533-position model. The record is from RNAcentral.
UAACGCCUACGGGACGCAGCAGUGGGGAAUAUUGCGCAAUGGGCGAAAGCCUGACGCAGCGACGCCGCGUGAGGGAUGAAGGUCUUCGGAUCGUAAACCUCUGUCAGCAGGGAAGAACGGUCACUGUGCUAAUCAGCAGUGAAUUGACGGUACCUGCAAAGGAAGCACCGGCUAACUCCGUGCCAGCAGCCGCGGUAAUACGGAGGGUGCGAGCGUUAAUCGGAAUUACUGGGCGUAAAGCGCACGUAGGCGGUAUGUCAAGUCAAGGGUGAAAUCCCCGCGCUCAACGUGGGAACUGCUUUGAA